Molecule: long non-coding RNA, 1654 nt
Organism: Cyprinodon variegatus (sheepshead minnow)
Lineage: Eukaryota; Metazoa; Chordata; Actinopteri; Cyprinodontiformes; Cyprinodontidae
Exons: 3
Source: RefSeq, a predicted model, not a curated record
UUUUUUCCCCUGCAUUUAUGAUUUCAGAAGGAGCAAAAGGAAAAAAUGGUGAUGAAAAAAUAAUUACGCCAGCAAUCAAGUUACUGCGAAAACCUAUUUGAUUAGCGGGCCACACUUUACUCAAAUUGCAGCUAUAAAAUUAAGAACAAUUCGCCUGUAAUGAUUAUGGACUUGGAUUUAUUUUGGGGAGGGUGGAAUAAAAGUGGAUAUAGCAUAAAUUAUCCCCUAAUUAUACGCCAGUGUGGCCUCAAUUAUCCUCUUAUCAAAAAUGGUUGUCUAAAUGCAGCGUUUAGUUUCAAUUUUCUCCUUUUUUUUCUCCCCUCUAACUGAAACAAGAACUUGGUACCUUGCUAUUAUCGUCAUGCUACGGUUGUUAUUUACUUUGUGGGAUUUAAAAAGUGCGCAAGCCAGCCGGAUAAUCAUUUUGUCGGAGCGCAGCGGAGCCACAGAGAAGCGCGCAGGCGACCAAGCGAGCAGAGGACACGCAGAUGGAUCUGUUUGCUGUUAUUUGUUUUAUUUAUUUUAUAUUCAUUUCCUUUUAAUUCAGCAACUCCAGAGGGCUGCAGUGCAAAGCCACAGGCGUCUACACUAUCCCCAUCUCUGACCAGAGAGGGGCGGGAAGAGGCCCGAUCGCACACCGCAGCUCAGCUGUCACCAUAAUGUACGCCUCCAUCCAUUCUUGGCAGCUACAUCUCCUCAUCGCUGCUACCCUCCUCCUCCUGCUGCCUGGCUCUCCCACCCCUCUCCCUGGUUGGUUUCCACAGCUGUGGUGAGUGAGGGGCAGAUGACCGGAGAAUUGGCCCCUGGGAGAGCGCUGAGCCAUCCUGGUGCUAUUAGGCUCGUGGCUAAUAAUAGGUGUUUCAGACCAGGGGAAGAUCAAUCAGGGGGAAUCAUGGGGAAUGUUCAGAGCAGCGCUUUUUACACAUCGGCCCAGAUGGAUGAAAUUACACUUGUCAGUUUUUAGUUGCAUUACUCCCAAAUUGGUUGUCUACUCUUUUUUUCUCUGUCUCCCUCCCUCCCUCCCUCUUCUCUCCUUUCUCUGUCUUUGCCCCCCAUUCAUGUGUCAGUGGCCUGCUAAAAGGAUUCGCCAGUGAAAUCCCUGUCAUUUUUGUCUUUUGCCUGUUUAGCCCUCAGCCUGCAACAACUCCAUCGCCUAGCAUGUAUGCACUUAGAAAACAUCAACUCACGUCUUAGGGGCUCGUCCAAUUUCCAUGUAAAGCCCAGUCUGCCGUUGACAUUCUGUGUGCGUUCUGCAUGCAUAAUAAAGCCAUUUGAUUUUGUCACUGUCAAACAUUCAUAGGACAAUAACAGAAGGUAGCAGACGAGGAGAAAAACAGAUGUGCAUCAAUAUUAAUAGUUUGUUAAACAAGGAACUGUUUUAUAUAUUGAUAACCUAAUGAUUCAAAGCACUUAGGCUGAUGAUGGACUUUAAUUUAAGGCAGACAAAAGUGGCAGAAGAUCUAUUUAGGGUAGAAUGCACCUCAAUAUUCAUGUAUUCAUGUGCAUGUAUGUUUAAAACAUAUUGUAACUGCAACUUUGCUGUUUUACCUUUUUUUACUGCCCUUUCAUCGCUGGAAUCAUUUGUAAUAAGUUAGAAAUGUGUUUAGAAGUAGUAUAGAGAAACUCAAUUAGAAAGAGUAUCUGUGUGUGAAAU